UACGGAGGGUGCGAGCGUUAAUCGGAAUUACUGGGCGUAAAGCGCGCGUAGGCGGUUCGUUAAGUCAGCUGUGAAAGCCCCGGGCUUAACCUGGGAAUGGCAGUUGAUACUGGCGGGCUAGAGUGUGGUAGAGGGGUGUGGAAUUUCCGGUGUAGCAGUGAAAUGCGUAGAGAUCGGAAGGAACACCAGUGGCGAAGGCGGCACCCUGGACCAACACUGACGCUGAGGUGCGAAAGCGUGGGGAGCAAACAGG
Molecule: ribosomal RNA, 253 nt
Filed under: uncultured Methylocaldum sp.
Lineage: Bacteria; Pseudomonadati; Pseudomonadota; Gammaproteobacteria; Methylococcales; Methylococcaceae
Description: partial 16S ribosomal RNA
Rfam family: Bacterial small subunit ribosomal RNA
Source: RNAcentral